Molecule: long non-coding RNA, 1584 nt
Filed under: Orussus abietinus
Lineage: Eukaryota; Metazoa; Arthropoda; Insecta; Hymenoptera; Orussidae
Description: uncharacterized LOC105696967, transcript variant X2
Source: RNAcentral
AAGAGAACCAAACCGCACCAGCAGCACGUAGAGAUGAAGCACAUUACGCCAACUGUAAAUAUUCCUACGGCACUGUAACACGAGUCAUACAGGUCUCCGGGAUGCAAAAUGGCAAAAAAGAAAUAAUUCAUGCGGCUGAAUUACUCUCGAAAAAAAACGAUCGUUCUCAUCAUCGGAUUCUUCCUGAUAAUGGAUACAGCCUUGACGUGUAGCGAAUAGCGUCGUUGCAGAGGUUAACAAACAAGACACUUGUUUCGCUUAAGGAGUUAAUUUACGUCUCGCUUGCAUCGUUUACAAAAUAGAUGCAUUUUCAGAUAACCGCUCUAGGAUUUAAAAAUACAGCAUCGUACUCACUUACAGUUGGGAUGUCUUCGUGUCUGGCAAAGACCUGUAUCGCUGGACCAUCGUCUGAUUAACAGAGAUGUAUGCGGUAAAAAGCUUUGGAUGAAAUUCUUACGAGGAUUGUUGCACGUGAAAAGGGAGGAGAAAUAAAGCAUCGAGCUUACUUCAGAAAUUGGAUUCUUUUGGCCUCCGUGGCUCUUCGCCAGAUUUCGACGGGUCCUCCCAGCUCGGGAAGAUCCGCAAGUUUCUACUCGUGGACCAAAAUGGCGUCCCCAGAUGCGGACAUCAACGCCUCGCGGUUUUCUAAAAGUCACCGAACACCGACACCCUCUAAAUUCCUCUGCAUUGAAUAAUUGAUGAUUUCGCAAGGUCCACGGAAAUUUCUUAGGAAGACAUGGAACGAUUAAGGACAAAAACGGUCCGUCAGAAAAUUCUCCUUCCUCGACGCGCCUUCCAGCCUGUCCUGCGCCUCUAACCUCGCAUUAUUAAUUCCCGCGGGGAAUAGUUGUCAAAUUGUUCGUAACGCACGUUCAUAGGAGUUCGAUUGAAUUUCCAUGAUGUAGCUUUCCGGGAAUUUCAAAGGCUGCGCCCUGGCACGCGAUAAUCGAGGCCUCAGCCUUGCUCGCGCCGAGGUGCAUAAUAAACAAUUUACAAAGAGUCACUCAGCCGCGAUAAAUUUUCAUUAAUUUGGAGUUGAACAAAUUGCUCGGAUAAUUACGAGGCAGCCAGGGCGAUUAAUCACUUCAGUUUGUGGUUCGUGAACCGCGCGACUCCAACGGCAACCACUCGACGGUCCGCCAUUGUUUCGCGCUUCCAUUGUAGCCUUUUGCAGUUUCCCUCCAUAAACAUUUCACCUAGCUCGGGGCAUGAGCUUCUUCUCUCGACGUACCCAAAGUGGCUUUCAAUGGGAAAAUUCCGGACCUGGAGACCGAACUGCUCAGCGUUCUGAGAUAGCAGAAAUAGAGUCAAGAAAUUAUUCCCACGGACUUGUACGCGUCCCUGAUGGAAUUACUAGUAAUUUCAGGUCAAAGAAAAAGUGAUCCCUGGCUCGUUCAUGACUCAAUUAUACCAACUGGACCGUUGCAUAACGUGUACUCGUACGUGCACACACGUUACAGCUGAAUUACAAAGAAACGACUAGACGCGCCGAAGAAGGAACUCCGGUUCAACGAUCAACUUUCAACGCCCUCGUCCAAGGAGACGUAAAUUUCUAAAUUCGCUUCUGCGGACGAAGAAAAAUUA